GAUGAACGCUGGCGGCGUGCCUAAUACAUGCAAGUCGAGCGAACAGACGAGGAGCUUGCUCCUCUGACGUUAGCGGCGGACGGGUGAGUAACACGUGGAUAACCUACCUAUAAGACUGGGAUAACUUCGGGAAACCGGAGCUAAUACCGGAUAAUAUAUUGAACCGCAUGGUUCAAUAGUGAAAGACGGUUUUGCUGUCACUUAUAGAUGGAUCCGCGCCGCAUUAGCUAGUUGGUAAGGUAACGGCUUACCAAGGCAACGAUGCGUAGCCGACCUGAGAGGGUGAUCGGCCACACUGGAACUGAGACGCGGUCCAGACUCCUACGGGAGGCAGCAGUAGGGAAUCUUCCGCAAUGGGCGAAAGCCUGACGGAGCAACGCCGAGUGAGUGAUGAAGGUCUUCGGAUCGUAAAACUCUGUUAUUAGGGAAGAACAAAUGUGUAAGUAACUAUGCACGUCUUGACGGUACCUAAUCAGAAAGCCACGGCUAACUACGUG
RNAcentral lists this ribosomal RNA (497 nucleotides) under uncultured bacterium. RNAcentral's name for it is "partial 16S ribosomal RNA". It matches the Rfam family "Bacterial small subunit ribosomal RNA", at positions 28 to 507 of the family's 1533-position model. The record is from RNAcentral.